GACGGUUUGGUUGAGUGGUCCAAGGUGCCAGAUUUAGGCUCUGUACCGAUAGGGCGUGGGUUCAAAUCCCACAGCUGUCA
RNAcentral lists this transfer RNA (80 nucleotides) under Ipomoea nil (Japanese morning glory). It matches the Rfam family "tRNA". Rfam says of the family: Transfer RNA (tRNA) molecules are approximately 80 nucleotides in length. Lineage: Eukaryota; Viridiplantae; Streptophyta; Magnoliopsida; Solanales; Convolvulaceae. The record is from Rfam by way of RNAcentral.